This 468-nucleotide ribosomal RNA is filed under the name uncultured bacterium. Its description in RNAcentral is "partial 16S ribosomal RNA". It matches the Rfam family "Bacterial small subunit ribosomal RNA", at positions 28 to 507 of the family's 1533-position model. The record is from RNAcentral.
GAUGAACGCUGGCGGCGUGCUUAACACAUGCAAGUCGAACGGAAAGGCCCUGCUUUUGUGGGGUGCUCGAGUGGCGAACGGGUGAGUAACACGUGAGUAACCUGCCCUUGACUUUGGGAUAACUUCAGGAAACUGCGGCUAAUACCGGAUAGGAUCUCCUGCUGCAUGGUGUGGGUUGGAAAGUUUCGGCGGUUGGGGAUGGACUCGCGGCUUAUCAGCUUGUUGGGGGGGUAGUUGCUUACGAAGCCUUUGACGGGUAGCCGGCCUGAGAGGGUGACCGGCCACAUUGGGACUAAGAGAGGGACCAGAAUCCUACGGGAGGCAGUAGGGGGGAAUAUGGCACAAUGGGCGGAAGCCUGAUGCAGCAACGCCGCGUGCGGGAUGACGGCCUUCGGGUUGUAAACCGCUUUGGACUGUGACGAAGCGUGAGUGACGGUAAUGGGUAAAGAAGCACCGGCUAACUACGUG